UACAGAGGCUGGUAGGGAUGUGAGAACGGCAAUACUUAAGGAAAUCCCCACUGCCAACAUCAAUGUUAUGGAACUAGAUCUCAGCUCAAUGGCAUCAGUAAGAAAAUUUGCAUCGGAAUAUAACUCCUCUGGUCUUCCAUUGAAUAUCCUGAUGUAAGACAUCUGAAUUGGACCGUUGUAAUUAUUUAUGUCACAUUUGCUUGUGCUCAUUUGAAUCUCUCAUCUCUUGUUGCAAAUGCAUCAGUGGUUACAUGUUCUUGCAUGUGUUCGUGUGUGUUUGCAUGCACACUUAGUGUUGUAUGAUAUCAUUGUGACAAUGGUUGUUAUUGCUGCUUCAUUCUUCAUUUUGGAAUGGUGUUUGGUCCCAAGAGUGGGAAAAGAAAGAAGGAAAAACAAUAAGUUCAUAUUUUAGUACAAUGUUCUCCUAUUGGUAUUGUUAUUAACUUACGGAGUUAUAAUUUAUCCUCUCUGUUUGUUUGAAGUAAUAAUGCAGGGGUUAUGGCAACUCCUUUCAUGCUUUCCCAAGACAACAUUGAACUGCAGUUUGCAACCAACCAUUUGGGUAUUUAAAACAUGAAAUUUUUUUGAUGUUUCUUUUGAGAAUAUGAAAUGGCCUGUUAUAUGGUCUUCAUAGAAUUGGAAUCUUAGAGUUCUUACCAUUCUUUUACAGGCCAUUUUCUUUUGACCAACCUUCUAUUGGAGACCAUGAAGAAGACAACAAGGGAGAGCAAAAAAGAGGGAAGAAUCGUGAACUUAUCAUCAGAGGCUCACCGAUUUGCAUAUAGUGAGGGGAUUCGUUUUGAUAAGAUUAAUGAUGAAUCAGGGUAAUAGUUUGACAG
Molecule: long non-coding RNA, 839 nt
Filed under: Prunus persica (peach)
Lineage: Eukaryota; Viridiplantae; Streptophyta; Magnoliopsida; Rosales; Rosaceae
Description: long non-coding RNA (PPER_LNC005438)
Source: RNAcentral